GGCGAGAGACCGAUAGCGAACAAGUACCGUGAGGGAAAGAUGAAAAGAACUUUGAAAAGAGAGUUAAACAGUACGUGAAAUUGUUGAAAGGGAAACGAUUGAAGCCAGUCGUACCUUCGGGUAAUCAGCCUUUCGGGUGCGAUUCUGUGGAGUGUGAGGAGUUAAACACCUUCAUGCUUUGUUAUUCGUGCCCUUGGGUGUACUUGCUCGUAUGGUUGGUUAACAUCAAUUUUGGUGGUCAUAANAUAA
RNAcentral lists this ribosomal RNA (249 nucleotides) under Glomus sp. Ba2. RNAcentral describes it as "partial large subunit ribosomal RNA". It matches the Rfam family "Eukaryotic large subunit ribosomal RNA", at positions 325 to 544 of the family's 3401-position model. Lineage: Eukaryota; Fungi; Glomeromycota; Glomeromycetes; Glomerales; Glomeraceae. The record is from RNAcentral.